RNAcentral lists this ribosomal RNA (253 nucleotides) under uncultured bacterium. RNAcentral describes it as "partial 16S ribosomal RNA". It matches the Rfam family "Bacterial small subunit ribosomal RNA", at positions 524 to 776 of the family's 1533-position model. The record is from RNAcentral.
UACGUAGGGUGCGAGCGUUGUCCGGAAUUAUUGGGCGUAAAGAGCUUGUAGGCGGUCUGUCGCGUCUGCUGUGAAAAUCCAGGGCUCAACCCCGGACUUGCAGUGGGUACGGGCGGGCUGGAGUUCGGUAGGGGAGACUGGAAUUCCUGGUGUAGCGGUGAAAUGCGCAGAUAUCAGGAGGAACACCGGUGGCGAAGGCGGGUCUCUGGGCCGAUACUGACGCUGAGGAGCGAAAGCGUGGGGAGCGAACAGG